GUAUUGCUGAGGGGUCCCAUACUAGGACGAAACGGCCGUCUAGUAC
Molecule: non-coding RNA, 46 nt
Filed under: Schistosoma haematobium
Lineage: Eukaryota; Metazoa; Platyhelminthes; Trematoda; Strigeidida; Schistosomatidae
Source: RNAcentral